Molecule: small nucleolar RNA, 137 nt
Organism: Pan troglodytes (chimpanzee)
Lineage: Eukaryota; Metazoa; Chordata; Mammalia; Primates; Hominidae
Source: Ensembl
UAUCUCUGACCUGGGUAGAGCAGCAUCUGGUUGGUGGCGCCCAUUUCAUAUCAGCCAGAGGUACAGCAAUUCCUUGUUUAUCCCAGCUUGGCUUUUAGUCUGUGCCCACGCCUGGUUCACAUGUGGAAAAUAUAGGA